RNAcentral lists this long non-coding RNA (1680 nucleotides) under Sorghum bicolor (sorghum). RNAcentral describes it as "long non-coding RNA (SBIC_LNC009313)". The record is from RNAcentral. Lineage: Eukaryota; Viridiplantae; Streptophyta; Magnoliopsida; Poales; Poaceae.
GCGUGAAUAAAACUCUGUGAAAACUAGUAGAGAGCAAGAAGAAGGGGUCGGGGCUUCGUUACCAACUGGCAAGGCACGGCCACUGCUCGGAAACGCUGGCACGGCUGUGGGUCGCGAGCACCAUGGCAGCGGGCGUAGCUUGCGGCUUAGCAAGAUCCAGACGGCGGCGGGGUGGCUAGGGCAUAAUUUCUAAACACGUAGGGGAGGAAGAGAAGCCGCAGAAUAUGCCUAGAGGCUUUAUAGGGGUCGGAUUGGGGCUUGGUUUGGAAGUUCCCAUGAAAGCUGGGAUUCGGUGGCCAGCUCCAGAACAGAGUCCAAGCUGCUCGCGAGUUGGGGAAGAAGAAAGAAGGAGAUCGUGACACUGACGCGCGGGCCCAGAGUGGCAGUGAGAGGAACAGCGGGGUCGGGCUGUCAGGGAAAGAAGGGAAAGGGGUGGCGCGGGCUGGCUUCUGCCACUGAGCCGCGAGUUGGGCCGUGGAGGGGGAAAAGAGGAGUGGCGCGCUUGGGCUGGGAAGGAAAGAAAGGGGGAAGGAGGAGAGUUUGGGCCUUCGAGCCAGAAAGAGGGGUGAGUUUUCUUCUUUUCUUUUCUUUUCUUUUCUUUUCUUUUUAUUUCUUUUUAUUUCAAAGUCCUUUUUAAAACAGUUUAGAAAUCAAUUUAAAAAUAUUUUGACUUUGCUCAAAUUCACACAGUACAAUGAAAAUAAAUGCUCCAAUAUGAAUGCACAACAAGUUGCUAAGUCCUAUAAUAAAUUUUAUUUAAAUGAAAAUAUUAUUUUCCUAUGUUUCAUGAGCACAAAAAUCCAAAAUUAAAUCAUUUUCACCUAUUUCAAAAAGUAGUAAAUUUUAGGGUGUUACAAAUCUACCCCCCUUAAAAUGAAUCUCGUCCUCGAGAUUCAGAAGAGACAUGGGUCCUUUGAGAGAACACAGAAUAAAGAUCUUGAUAACUCUUUCAACUUCACAACUUGUAUACCAAGGCAAAUCCAGUUUUCCAUAGAAUGCCUAUCAUUCAUAAUUGAUCAAAGUCCAUCUUCGCUAUCAACUGUUUGAAUUAUACAACUCAAAAAUUUGAUAACUUAGCAUGGAUUUGCCUCCUCACGUAGGAGUGGACCACCUUGAUACUCAAUUCUUUUCCCUGAUGGUGCGGUUAAGAAAAUUUUCCACCGGGUAGCAUAGAUCACUCCUUUUUGUGCACAUAACCAUCUAUUGCCAAGAACCAGAGGAAUGUCGAGUGACCCUAGCAUAAUGAGGUUUUCAGUGAAGUUUUCCAUUGAUAUAAUUUCGCUGCACUUUACUUCCAAGAGCAGGCUUCUUACGAACUUUCCUUUUACGCUUCCUUCGUUGUGGAUUCUGAUUUGAUUCGAUGUCAACUUUCUCCUCAAUAUUGUCAUUUGGAUAGUACUCAGCUUUAUCAUACUCAUAACAUCUUUCUUCAAAGGUGAUCAUAAGGUAUCUCAGAAGACAAUUAUCACUUCAAGCUAGUUUUGAAAUGCAUCAUCUCAUGAUAUCAAGGUACUACCCCCCUUAAAAUUAGAUUGAUUGGGGGACACUAGGCACUAGUUCUCCUAACCUUUUUGGACGCUACACAUCCAUAGUCUUUUACAUUCGUUGUACCGAGUCUCUUGAUCCAAGGUUAGUUUCAUCACUAAGUUCCAAUUAUCGGUACCUUUAUCACAGUUAAGU